AAGUCGUAACAAGGUAACCGUAGGUGAACCUGCGGUUGGAUCAUUACCAAAAAAAUAUGAUUCUUAAUCAUUAUUGAUUUUGAAUUUUUAACUCCUGUGCACUAAUGGAUGUUUCUGGCACUAAUUAGUGCCAAAUACUAUUAAACCCUUUUUUUUGACAUUUAAUUUUUUUAAUAAUAUUAAAAACUUUUGACAACGGAUCUCUUGGCUCUC
This 213-nucleotide unclassified non-coding RNA is filed under the name fungal sp. RNAcentral describes it as "partial internal transcribed spacer region". The stretch from base 1 to 46 matches the Rfam family "Eukaryotic small subunit ribosomal RNA", at positions 1786 to 1831 of the family's 1831-position model. RNAcentral also lists the same sequence under 1 other name. The record is from RNAcentral. Lineage: Eukaryota; Fungi.